ACUUAAAACAUCUGAAGUUCAACAACAGCCUGUAAAAUAAUCGACAUCUUUAGUCACACAAUUAGUCACAUAUUUUGUUUGUUUUUGAAAAAUUUUAUUGUUAAGAGUUGAGACUCAUAAUCUAAAAAAUGUGCGUUAUUUUUAAUGCAAACAUUCAUAUUUAAGAUAAUUUUUUUCAAAGGAAUUAAAGAAUUCUAAUAUCUGUUUCCUUUCUUAUUAAGUCAACAAAUUAAUUUUAGUGAAACGAAACGAAUAAAACAUUUUUCGGAUUUUUAAAUGAAUCUAUUAAUAUAACCAAACCAAAGCAAAGAACCAAUUCGAUGAAGAUCUAAAUAAGCCUAUUGAAGAGCGAGUGGACUCAAAGGCCAUUCAAGCUGUGAGGCGGCGGUCAACAGCUUUUCGGCCUGGUCAAUAAAAAUGUUUUGCAUAUUAAGCAGCCCAAACCGAAAAGAAAAAUGUAAACAAUUGACGGCGAGACACCUCAACAAUACAAAAACCGAGCUCAUCUUUAGAAGAAGAAAAGACGGAAUCAUAAAAAAGAAACUUGAUGAGCUGCACUUUUUUUAGGCUAAGCUGCAGUCAGCUGCACCUGCCUUACAUUUAUUAUGACGAUAUAUAGUAUACUAUAUAUCUUUAGGUAUGCAAAUGGCUUUCAACGGAUGCAGCGUUUUGUUUGAUUUCUUUUUGUUUGCCCUAUCACAAUGCAGCGGUCAUAAUUUCCAAGGGCGGGAGAAAGAUUUCCCGGGUUGAGAAAGAAAAGGUAUUGACAGAUGGAGUGAAAGUGAUAAUGCCCAGCUGGCUUUGAGCCAAGAAUCCGGCGAUUAGACACGCGGUCAGCCAACUGAUCUUGGCUUUUACAUGCGAAUGCGGAAGAAGAUGGCAAAUGAAAUAACACAGAAAUAUUUUAAUUUCGAGAAAUUAAAUCAAAGGAAAUUUAUAGCCA
Molecule: long non-coding RNA, 943 nt
Organism: Drosophila ficusphila
Lineage: Eukaryota; Metazoa; Arthropoda; Insecta; Diptera; Drosophilidae
Exons: 2
Source: RefSeq, a predicted model, not a curated record